GCUGGCUACCUAGAUUGUGGAGAACUACAAACUCGGGAUUCAGUGGAGAGAAACUCCCAUUAAGAUUAAGGUAGAUGCACGUACUGGCUUUGUGGGAGCCUAGGCAGUUUGGAUGCUCACCUUACUAGACCUGGAUGGAGGUGGGUGGUCCUUGGACUUCCCACAGGGCAGGGAACCCUGAUUGCUCUUCGGGCUGAUGAGGGAGGGGGACUUGAUUGGAGGAGGGGGAGGGAAAUGGGAGGUGGUGGCGGGGAGGAGGCAGAAAUCGUUAAUAAAUUAAUUAAUUAAAAAAUGAAAUAGGUUCUUCAAUGUUCAACAUAAUUGUCACACAUUUUUAAGCUGUUAAUCAAGUCAUAAUUAAUUUGAAUCCCUACGACAUCAACUUGUAUUGGGGAACACUCAGACCCUUCGUUUCCCUUCCUGAUUACACUAACCCUCCCUAAUAAUGUGGCAAAAACAUGUGAAGGCUGGGUUUUGUUGUUGCUUUUGUUGUUUUAUAAGAUUUUUCUGUACUUUCUUAUGACCCCAUUGAUUUCUAUAAACCUGCUUUGCAAGUACUCCUGAUUUUACCCUUAAGAGAGCCCUAAGAAAUGAACUCAGAGUUGCUCUCUUUAACGGGACCAGAGAGGCAGUCUCUUGCCAGGUCUCAGGUACAUCACAAUAAAAACCAAGUUUGUUCCAGA
Molecule: long non-coding RNA, 683 nt
Organism: Alexandromys fortis (reed vole)
Lineage: Eukaryota; Metazoa; Chordata; Mammalia; Rodentia; Cricetidae
Exons: 2
Source: RefSeq, a predicted model, not a curated record